RNAcentral lists this unclassified non-coding RNA (248 nucleotides) under uncultured fungus. RNAcentral describes it as "partial contains 5.8S ribosomal RNA, internal transcribed spacer 2, and large subunit ribosomal RNA". Lineage: Eukaryota; Fungi. The record is from RNAcentral.
AACGCACAUUGCGCCCGCCAGCAUUCUGGCGGGCAUGCCUGUCCGAGCGUCAUUUCAACCAUCAAGCCCCGGGCUUGUGUUGGGGCCCUGCGGCCGCCCGCAGCCUCCUAAAUGCAUUGGCGGUCCCGCCGUCGCGCCGAGCGUAGUACAUACCCUCGCUCCGGCCGCCGCGGCGGGCGCCUGCCGUAAAACCCCCAAAGCAUCCAAAGGUUGACCUCGGAUCAGGUAGGAAUACCCGCUGAACUUAA